This 539-nucleotide ribosomal RNA is filed under the name Cephalobidae environmental sample. Its description in RNAcentral is "SSU rRNA". It matches the Rfam family "Eukaryotic small subunit ribosomal RNA", at positions 1080 to 1643 of the family's 1831-position model. The record is from RNAcentral. Lineage: Eukaryota; Metazoa; Nematoda; Chromadorea; Rhabditida; Cephalobidae.
UGGGUAGCUUCCCGGAAACGAAAGUCUUCCGGUUCCGGGGGAAGUAUGGUUGCAAAGCUGAAACUUAAAGGAAUUGACGGAAGGGCACCACCAGGAGUGGAGCCUGCGGCUUAAUUUGACUCAACACGGGGAAACUCACCCGGCCCGGACACCGUAAGGAUUGACAGAUUGAUAGCUCUUUCAUGAUUCGGUGGUUGGUGGUGCAUGGCCGUUCUUAGUUCGUGGAUCGAUUUGUCUGGUUUAUUCCGAUAACGAGCGAGACUCUAGCCUACUAAAUAGUAACGAGAUUAUCAAUGUCUCAGUUGCUUCUUAGAGGGAUUUUCGGUGUUUAGCCGCACGAGAUUGAGCAAUAACAGGUCUGUGAUGCCCUUAGAUGUCCGGGGCUGCACGCGCGCUACACUGGCGAAAUCAGCGUGCUGUAUCCAUUCUCGAAAGGGAUUGGUAAACCCAUGAAAAUUUGCCGUGCUUGGGACCGGAAAUUGCAAUUAUUUUCCGUGAACGAGGAAUUCCAAGUAAGUGCGAGUCAUCAACUCGCUCUG